Molecule: ribosomal RNA, 418 nt
Filed under: uncultured bacterium
Lineage: Bacteria
Description: bacterial SSU rRNA
Rfam family: Bacterial small subunit ribosomal RNA
Source: RNAcentral
UGGGGAAUAUUGGGCAAUGGGCGAAAGCCUGACCCAGCAACGCCGCGUGAGGGAAGAAGGGUUUCGGCUCGUAAACCUCUGUCCUAUGGGACGAAGAAGAUGACGGUACCAUAGGAGGAAGCCCCGGCUAACUACGUGCCAGCAGCCGCGGUAAUACGUAGGGGGCGAGCGUUGUCCGGAAUGAUUGGGCGUAAAGGGCGCGUAGGCGGCCUAUUAAGUCUGGAGUGAAAGUCCUGCUUUCAAGGUGGGAAUUGCUUUGGAUACUGAUGGGCUGGAGUGCAGGAGAGGAAAGCGGAAUUACCGGUGUAGCGGUGAAAUGCGUAGAGAUCGGUAGGAACACCAGUGGCGAAGGCGGCUUUCUGGACUGAAACUGACGCUGAGGCGCGAAAGCGUGGGGAGCAAACAGGAUUAGAUACCC